Non-coding RNA from Potamilus streckersoni, 77 nucleotides. The record is from the annotation of a GenBank genome assembly. NCBI's taxonomy places the organism in Eukaryota, Metazoa, Mollusca, Bivalvia, Unionida, Unionidae.
GACCGCUCCGGUGGCGUAAUAGUUAGAGCGUCCGCAAGUGAUGUGGGAGGUCACGGGUUCGAACCCCGACCGAGUCA